AGAGUUUGAUCCUGGCUCAGAAUGAACGCUGGCGGCAUGCCUAACACAUGCAAGUCGAACGAAGGCUUCGGCCUUAGUGGCGCACGGGUGCGUAACGCGUGGGAAUCUGCCCCUUGGUUCGGAACAACAGCGAGAAAUUGCUGCUAAUACCGGAUAAUGACGUAAGUCCAAAGAUUUAUCGCCUAGGGAUGAGCCCGCGUAGGAUUAGCUAGUUGGUGUGGUAAAGGCGCACCAAGGCGACGAUCCUUAGCUGGUCUGAGAGGAUGAUCAGCCACACUGGGACUGAGACACGGCCCAGACUCCUACGGGAGGCAGCAGUGGGGAAUAUUGGACAAUGGGCGAAAGCCUGAUCCAGCAAUGCCGCGUGAGUGAUGAAGGCCUUAGGGUUGUAAAGCUCUUUUACCCGGGAUGAUAAUGACAGUACCGGGAGAAUAAGCUCCGGCUAACUCCGUGCCAGCAGCCGCGGUAAUACGGAGGGAGCUAGCGUUAUUCGGAAUUACUGGGCGUAAAGCGCACGUAGGCGGCUUUGUAAGUUAGAGGUGAAAGCCUGGAGCUCAACUCCAGAAUUGCCUUUAAGACUGCAUCGCUUGAAUCCAGGAGAGGUGAGUGGAAUUCCGAGUGUAGAGGUGAAAUUCGUAGAUAUUCGGAAGAACACCAGUGGCGAAGGCGGCUCACUGGACUGGUAUUGACGCUGAGGUGGAAAGCGUGGGGAGCAAACAGGAUUAGAUACCCUAGUAGUCC
RNAcentral lists this ribosomal RNA (741 nucleotides) under uncultured bacterium. RNAcentral's name for it is "bacterial SSU rRNA". It matches the Rfam family "Bacterial small subunit ribosomal RNA", at positions 8 to 796 of the family's 1533-position model. The record is from RNAcentral.